GAUGAACGCUAGCGGCAGGCUUAAUACCAUGCAAGUCGAGGGGCAUCAAGGUACACGAAAGUGUAUUGUUGGCGACCGGCGGACGGGUGAGUAAUAGGUAGGUAACCUACCUCAUACUGAGGCAUAGCUGGGAGAAAUUCCAGGUAAUUCCUCAUGAGGUUAUAUGACACAUGUGAUAUAAUCAAAGGUAUCGCAAGGUACUGGUAUGAGAUGGGCUUACUGACCAUUAGCUAGUUGGUGAGAUAAGAGCUCACCAAGGCGAAGAUGGUUAGGGGUUUUGAGAGAGAGAUCCCCCACAUUGGAACUGAGAUACGGUCCAGACUCCUACGGGAGGCAGCAGUAGGGAAUAUUGGGCAAUGGGCGGAAGCCUGACCCAGCCAUGCCGCGUGAAGGAAGACGGCCUUAUGGGUUGUAAACUUCUUUACUAUGCGACUAACUAGAUUUACGAGAUAAUUCUAUAGAAUGUAGCAUAGCAAAAAGCACCGGA
This 487-nucleotide ribosomal RNA is filed under the name uncultured bacterium. Its description in RNAcentral is "bacterial SSU rRNA". It matches the Rfam family "Bacterial small subunit ribosomal RNA", at positions 28 to 497 of the family's 1533-position model. The record is from RNAcentral.